RNAcentral lists this long non-coding RNA (691 nucleotides) under Rattus norvegicus (Norway rat). Its description in RNAcentral is "long non-coding RNA NONRATT001614". Lineage: Eukaryota; Metazoa; Chordata; Mammalia; Rodentia; Muridae. The record is from RNAcentral.
ACAAAACAAAAACUGGGAAAUCUGGAGGAAAUGGACAAUCUUCUAGACAGAUACCAGAUACCAAAGUUAAGUCAGGAACAAAUAAACCAUCCAAACAACUCCAUAACUCCCAAGGAAAUAGAAGCAGUUAUUAAAAAUCUCCCAACCAAAAUGAGCCCAGGACCAGAUAGAUAUACCACAGAAUUCUAUCAGACCUUGAUAGAAGAUCUUAUACCAAUACUGUCCAAAAUAUUCCACAAAAUAGAAACAGAUGGAGCACUACCCAAUUCCUUCUGUGAAGCCAUAAUUACUUUUAUACUUAAACCACACAAAGACCUAACAAAGAAAGAGAACUUCAGACCAAUUUCCUUUAUGAAUAUUGAUGUAAAGAUACUCAAUAAAAUUCUUGCAAACCAAAUCCAAAAACACAUCAAAAUGAUCAUCUAUCAUGAUCAAGUAGGCUUCAUCCCAGGGAUGCAGGGAUGGUAUAAUAUACGAAAAUCCAUCAACAUAAUCCACUGUAUAAACAUACUCAAAGAUGAAAACCACAUGAUCAUUUCAUUAGAUGCUGAGAAAGCAUUUGACAAAAUGCAAUACCCCUUCAUGAUAAAAGUCCUGGGGGGCUGGGGAUUUAGCUCAGUGGUAGAGCGCUUACCUAGGAAGUGCAAGGCCCUGGGUUCGGUCCCCAGCUCCGAAAAAAAGAACCAAAAAA